Non-coding RNA from Paramuricea clavata, 5203 nucleotides. Lineage: Eukaryota; Metazoa; Cnidaria; Anthozoa; Malacalcyonacea; Plexauridae. The record is from the annotation of a GenBank genome assembly.
AGAAAUGUACCAUUCCGAGUACGAGUGCGGUUGGCACGCCGUAGAAACGAGGACGAAGAUUCCCCACACAAGUUCUAUACAUUGGUAACACACGUUCCAGUAGCUUCUUUCAAAGGUAAAAACUAUUUAAAUUAAUUUAUUUUUAUUUAAUGAAAAUUUAUAAACAGUGAUAACAAAAAUGUUCUUUCAAACGUCGGUCAGACUAUAACGCUGAAAUAGCUGGUGGAACUUGUCGUUUGUUGGUAGUAAUUUUUAACUUUGUUCAUAUUUUUGUGCACAGUUAUGUCCUUCAUUUAUUAUAUCAUGUCCCCAUCAACCUCCGGCGAAACUAGCUGUUGGGGUAUUAAAAAUAUAACUACCGAUAAUAUCACAGGGGGCAGAAAAGUACGAUUGUGUUUAUUUAAAAUACCUUGUCAUAAAACCUAUAUAUCGCAUAGUUUCAUCCAGGUUUCAUCACGUUGAAAAUUAUGUUGAUUUUUAAAAAAAAUUUCGAUAAUAUCAUGCCUACUACUUCAUGUAAUUCAAACAUUGUAUGUGUGAUACACAUAGUAGCGUGGGCUCGUAGCCAUAGUAACGUGGGCUCAUACUAGAAUGAUUGGCUUUGUUUACACGUACAAAUACCCUCGGCAUCCUUUCGUAAGAUGUUCGGAAAUUGUCGUUGCAAUGCAAUGAUGUUUGAACUACAUGAAGUAGAAGGCAUGAUAUUCGAUCCUUUUGUGACUUUGUCUGCGGAUUGUUGUGAUAUAAAUAUGCGAUAUUAGUUGAUGACAAGGUAUUUAUAAAACACAAUUGUACUUCUCUGCCCCCUGUGUAAUAUCGAUAAAUUAUAUUUUACUUUUAACUCCAAAAAGACGCAAAAUAUUUAACCUAAUUUUUCCCAGUCCAAAGCCGGUUACAGACGAGCAAGUUUUCUAUGACAAGUUUUUAUAUUACAAGUUUUAUUUGCUCGUCUGUACGCGCAACUUUGACAAUUUUUUCUAUGACACACUCACUUGUUCAAAAGCUAGCAUGCUAUUUUUUUCAAAGUACAAAUUUUGUUCGUCUUUAUGGGUCAACAAAGUAAGUUGUCAAAGUAAUCUGAGCAUUUGAUGUGAUUGGCCAGCGAACUAUUAUAAUUUUUCUGUCAUGGCGGCGAUAAACACCUUUUUCUGACACGUUCACACCAGUAAAUAUAACUUGUCAUAUGAAAACUUGUCAUAUAAAAUUUGUUGCAUAUACACACGUGCACUUGGCAAAUAAAACUUGUCACAUAAAAACUUGUCAUAGAAAACGUGGUCGUCUGUAUCCGGUUUAAUUGCACAGUGCCUUGACAUUUCAAAACAGUAACACAAAGGGGUGCAGCUUUAUGCGUGCGCUGGGGACAUUACACAGGUCACGUUGAAAACGAAAUAGUUUUGAGGGCCAAAAUUCGUAACAGUUCGACUUUAGUUAUAGUCGAACUGGGAAAAUUUAGCUACCUUUUUAAAGGCUUUAAUGCAAAUGCCCAUGCUCAAUACCGGCCAGAUUCGUAUUGUCGGGAUAUCGAUACUUCAAAAUGCAUUAUCGAAUAAACCCACAUAAUGUGUUGACUUAUCACUCUCGAAAUCCAUUUUUUUAUUUGGAACGCCAAUUCAAAACAAAAAAUAAAACAGAUACAACAUGAGAUACUAAUGAAAUUAUCAGCAAGACUCUGUUGCCGUUCCAAGAUUUAUAUGCUCCUUUCAAAUUACAAUUAUAUAUACACAAAGAAAUUAUUUAUAUUUGUUAGCAUUAUUAUUAUUAGUAAAAUAUAUUUUGUGUUCUGUGACUAAUUGUUUUCUAAUUUUUGAGAAGAUUUGAAAGGGAGCUGGCUCCCUGAAAUAACCACAGGGCUAUAUAAAUAUCAGGGAACCAAACAAAGGACGAAAAAUUUAUGAAAAUUGACAAUAUAGUUCUAUAUCAAAUAAAUUUUAAAAGAUCGAGAAAGGAGUCCUGACGGGAGAUAACGUAUAGAAAAAGUUGGAAAUCAAUAUAGUUGGAAAGUUGGAAAUCAAAAAAAUUGGAAAUCAUGUAUCAGAGAGCGACUGUUGACCACUUGGUCAACAGGCGACUGUUGACCACUUGGUCAACAGUCGCUCUCUGAUCCAUGACCAAGCUCAAUGAACACACUGCACACAUACCCCUUCCCUACCAGAUUUGAUAUAGGAUCAACCCAGUCCAUAUAGCUUGCUAUAGCAUGCGAUUCUUUUGGUUCUUCGGUUUAGCUUAAUUGAUUGUCCUUAAUUCCAUUAAUGUUUUGACAUGAUUGUACUGUAUAUUCAAUUUUAUUUAUUAUUUCAUUUUAGGCUUAGAAACCAAGAUUGUAGAAGCUGAUGACUAAGUUAACGUGAAAUUGUGUAAUAAAGUGUUCAAUAAUAUUAAUUUGUUGUUGUAUCUUGUCUCUAUUUCUGUAUAUUAUACACGUCAGUCUCCACCCUUUUAGUACAAAGUAAUUUACAUUAUAGCGACGUAGGCAAAGGUUCUAACGAGAAUGUCGUGUAUAGAUAUACUAUAUAGUUUAAACAAAGUGGGGGUUACCGUAAUGGGUAUCCAUUACUUUGUUUAAUAAAAAAUGUCAGUGUUUAUUACUCCUCCGGUCGCUGGUGCGUUGGAGGUUUAAAAUGGCCAUUUUCAGUUUUAGUUUUAGUCGUCAUAUUUCCACAGAAUACCCUACCAUCAUCUACAUCUACGGAUAUUACGACUUUGAGGGUACUUUAUAGUGCAUUGUGAAAGUUCCCCUUUGGCUUUGCAACUACUGUCAAGCUAUUAAAAAGAUAAAAUUCAAGCGAGACGGCACAAAAUAGACAACGUAAACAACCUAUAGCGAUAGAGGGAGCUUGCAAUUGCAUUAUGUUACGUUGAACUGUUUAAAAAGAAAAAGGCUGAAAAUUACGUAAUGGCAUGCAAUGCGUCCUGCAGACUGGCUUUAAAUUAAAUAUAAUUUUAAGUGUAAGAUUUUUUCCAAUGAAACAGAUAAUAAGUACAUUAGAACUUUGAAAGAAUAUACAUGAUUUUCAAAACGAAUCAUCCGAUUUAUCUACAUGAAAUGUGUAUAGACUAGUAUAGGCAUGCGUGGAAUAUCUAAGCUGAAGAAUAUAUGAAAGUAAUUACCAAUGGGCAAUGGUAUAAACAACGCUGCCUAAUGUUUAACAACUCUGAGGGAAAACCACUGCCUAGCGCAAGCAAAAUGGCAAAAUACUUUCCGUUCAAAAUUUAGAUUUUACGCGAAAUUGAUUAAAACUUUCGGUCGAAAUAAAUCAUGAAAUACAACUAAUUGUGCUAUAAAUUUCAUCCUCCUUUCGCCUUGAGUUAUUUUUGCCAAAACGGGGGACAACAGAAGUGAAAAAAUCGUAAUAACCUUUAGUCCAUAGAAAGGCUUUGCAAUAUUUAUUUUAAAUCAUUUUAAUGCAUCCAUGUGCAAAUUCUUUGUAGGUGAUCAGAAAUUUACAAAACUUUAUUUGCAGAAAUUAUACAAAAAGUUCGGAAAACUAAGGUCAAAUUGCGAAAAUUACAAACCUAUAUAUAUAUAUAUAUAUAUAUACCACAAAUAAUGCUGGGUUUGGUGGAUAAUCCAAACCAGGAACGGUUAUGAAAAAUGCAACACUAUACCACAGAAUACUACACAGAAGUCCAUCUCCAUUGUUUUUAGCGUAAGCUCUAUUCGUCAUGAUUCGUCACUCAGCAAGUACCGUAAACAGAAGCAGUCCCCCUCCUGGAAAUACUAAAAAUGGCGUAUGUCCAGGGGGUGACUGCUUCUGUUUACGGUACUUGCUGAGUGACGAAUCAUGACGAAUAGAGCUUACGCUAAAAACAAUGGAGAUGGACUUCUGUGUAGUAUUCUGUGACUAUACUCUAUAGUAUAUCUAGGUCCUCUGGCAGGAAUCAGACGUGCGGCCCUACGAGUAUGACCCUACGCAAACUGGGUACAUCGCUACGUUUCUUACACGAAAAUCCUAUUCAAACCUCCUUCAAAUCUCUAGUCGCAAUGUUUCGUGACCAUAAGCCCCGAUGACCGCUCAUAAGUAGCCAGCCACAGAGUACAGACAAUGACGAAUAAUGAUGAGCGUCACAUUUCGAGUUACUAUAGAAUUUUAUCAAGUGAAUAUAGUCUAUAGACGCAACUCGUGUAGCGGUCAAAAGCCAAUGCAACUAUGGAAACGCAAGCAACAUAAGAUGGCAAAUGAAGAAAAGGAUGAAUAACAAAUCCAUUGACACAUGCAUGGUCUCCAAUAACGAGAAAGAAUCCCCGGGAAACAUGAUGAUAUCGGCAAUUAUCAUUAUUUGCUCCAACGAGGAGUAAAAUAUUUGAAAAUAUUCUAGUAAAUAUGAUUUCGAAGCGAGGAAUGAUAUACAAACUUGGAAGAGAAAUCCAACGAGAAAAAACAAAUGGAUAAAUUAAAAGUCUCGUUCAUUUCAUUUCGUAGUUUGUAAUCCGCUUUUCAGGACGCCUUUAAAGCAGGCCGGGGCGGCGCUAAAGGUGUGUGUUGGGGGGGGGGACACCCCCAGUUGGCAAAUUGUUUUCGUAGACGUCGGCAAAACAUGAAUUUGGAUCGGAAGAAAAAAAUUAAACUAUUUGAGUGACACUGAUUAAAAAUUAAUAAUGAUCGGCUAAAAUGUGGAGAAAUUUAUGGGAGGGAAAAGAAAGAACAAUAAGUAAGAGUUAAUUACCGAGAAGGAGGGCUUUAUGCUAUAUACAGCCCCGAGAACGCGAAGCGUUCGAGGACUUUAUAUAGCAUAAAGCCCGACAUUCUCGGUAAUUAACUGACUUAUUUCAUGAUUGAAGAGGUUUUCUAACAAAGUUUUAUUCUUUUUUUUCGAUUUCGACAAGUAUUUUUCUAGUUUUCUCCCUUAUUUCUUGACUAAUUAGGGCUUUAUGGUAUUCAAGGGCAUUAUGCUAUAUACAGCCCGCGGUACAUCAAAGAAAACCGAGUCAAUCAUGAAAUAACGGUAGUUAUUAAUUUUGGAAGUGUACUAAUCCAUCUGUCUUAACGAGAAUAGCACAUAUAUUGAGGCCAUUGACACAUUCUCAUUCAGUAAUGUCUCUUUAAUAGGUCGUCAAUAAUGUCAACUGAUGCACUCUAUGGAGCAGAUGCAUGUGCGAAGUGAGAUUACUGUUUAAAAGUUUAAUGUGAAAACGAAUACAUAACUUUAAUUAAGCAAUAGGAGAUGUUGCUGUAAUGAAAAUACUAUUGAAAAUUAAUAAUGA